RNAcentral lists this unclassified non-coding RNA (450 nucleotides) under Ascomycota sp. RNAcentral describes it as "partial contains small subunit ribosomal RNA, internal transcribed spacer 1, and 5.8S ribosomal RNA". The stretch from base 1 to 47 matches the Rfam family "Eukaryotic small subunit ribosomal RNA", at positions 1785 to 1831 of the family's 1831-position model. Lineage: Eukaryota; Fungi; Ascomycota. The record is from RNAcentral.
AAAGUCGUAACAAGGUCUUCGUAGGUGAACCUGCGAAGGGAUCAUUAACACGUUCCAAACCUAUUAUCAACCCAUCUGUGAACUCUUGUUACUGCCGAUAUGGCUGACCGCGAGUGUAUGGCGCAUACGACCGACUCAACGAUGUGAGGCGCACGCCGUCAUGGUGUGCUCCUGGUCGUAGUAUGCCUUGUGCUCUCCUGUCCACCCGACAGGGGAACAGCUGUCCUUGCGUGUCGGUCCGGCCCCCAUAUAUGCGCUUCGGCGGCCGUCAUCUGCUGUCGACUCGUAUAUCACCACACGCCCUGCGGCUCGUGCGUUGGUCCGCCAACCAGCGAGGCGCACUACAUCAAUUUAUCCAACAAACAAAUUGCUGCGUCGGCGUAUCAGUCGGCGUAUGCGAGAUGAAAACUAAACAGAGAACAACUCUUAGCAAUGGAUAUCUUGGUUCUC